Molecule: ribosomal RNA, 468 nt
Filed under: uncultured bacterium
Lineage: Bacteria
Description: partial 16S ribosomal RNA
Rfam family: Bacterial small subunit ribosomal RNA
Source: RNAcentral
GACGAACGCUGGCGGCGUGCUUAACACAUGCAAGUCGAACGGAAAGGCCCUGCUUUUGUGGGGUGCUCGAGUGGCGAACGGGUGAGUAACACGUGAGUAACCUGCCCUUGACUUUGGGAUAACUUCAGGAAACUGGGGCUCAUACCGGAUAGGAGCUCCUGCUGCAUGGUGGGGGUUGGAAAGUUUCGGCGGUUGGGGAUGGACUCGCGGCUUAUCAGCUUGUUGGUGGGGUAGUGGCUUACCAAGGCUUUGACGGGUAGCCGGCCUGAGAGGGUGACCGGCCACAUUGGGACUGAGAUACGGCCCAGACUCCUACGGGAGGCAGCAGUGGGGAAUAUUGCACAAUAGGCGGAAGCCUAAUGCAGCAACGCCGCGUGCGGGAUGACGGCCUUCGGGUUGUAAACCGCUUUCGCCUGUGACGAAGCGUGAGUGACGGUAAUGGGUAAAGAAGCACCGGCUAACUACGUG